Molecule: ribosomal RNA, 383 nt
Filed under: uncultured eukaryote
Lineage: Eukaryota
Description: partial 18S ribosomal RNA
Rfam family: Eukaryotic small subunit ribosomal RNA
Source: RNAcentral
CAAUAGCGUAUAUUAAAGUUGUUGCAGUUAAAAAGCUCGUAGUUGGAUUUCUGGCAGGAGCGACCGGUCACACACUCUGUGUGUGAACUUGCGUUGUCUCUGGCCAUCCUUGGGAAGAUCCUGUUUGGCAUUAAGUUGUCGGGCAGGGGAUACCCAUCGUUUACUGUGAAAAAAUUAGAGUGUUUAAAGCAGGCUUAUGCCGUUGAAUAUAUUAGCAUGGAAUAAUAAGAUAGGACUUCGGAACUAUUUUGUUGGUUUGCGUUACGAAGUAAUGAUUAAUAGGGACAGUUGGGGGUAUUCGUAUUUCGUUGUCAGAGGUGAAAUUCUUGGAUUUCCGAAAGACGAACUACUGCGAAAGCAUUUACCAAGGAUGUUCUCAUUAA